UACGUAGGGGGCUAGCGUUGUCCGGAAUCAUUGGGCGUAAAGAGCGUGUAGGCGGCCAGGUAGGUCUGCUGUGAAAACUCGAGGCUCAACCUCGAGACGUCGGCGGAAACCAUCUGGCUAGAGUCCGGAAGAGGAGAGUGGAAUUCCUGGUGUAGCGGUGAAAUGCGCAGAUAUCAGGAAGAACACCAAUGGCGAAAGCAGCUUUCUGGGACGGUACUGACGCUGAGACGCGAAAGCGUGGGGAGCGAACAGG
This 253-nucleotide ribosomal RNA is filed under the name uncultured bacterium. RNAcentral describes it as "partial 16S ribosomal RNA". It matches the Rfam family "Bacterial small subunit ribosomal RNA", at positions 524 to 776 of the family's 1533-position model. The record is from RNAcentral.